AAGCAGACUGUGGUGGAAUAGAGAUGCUGACCUGCUCUGAAGAACUCAGUGAAAAGGGGACGGCGACGGGGAGAGCCGUGGGACCGGGAAGGACGGGAGACGCGGCCGGCACUGCAGCCUUUUGUUCCGGCCAGAGGUGGGUGUUUGUCCCGCUGCCUUUUGUGCCGGCUCCUCGCGCUUGCCCUCCCGCGCCGCCGCCGCCGCCGCCGCCGAAGGGCAGGAGCUAGGGCCGGGGGAGGAGGCGGCCGGGGGCACGCGGGAGAGGGAGGGAGGGAGCCCGGACU
This 284-nucleotide long non-coding RNA is filed under the name Pan troglodytes (chimpanzee). RNAcentral's name for it is "long non-coding RNA NONPTRT010487". The record is from RNAcentral. Lineage: Eukaryota; Metazoa; Chordata; Mammalia; Primates; Hominidae.